Molecule: ribosomal RNA, 441 nt
Filed under: uncultured bacterium
Lineage: Bacteria
Description: partial 16S ribosomal RNA
Rfam family: Bacterial small subunit ribosomal RNA
Source: RNAcentral
CCUACGGGAGGCAGCAGUGGGGAAUAUUGCACAAUGGGGGGAACGCUGAAGCAGCGACGCCGCGUGGGUGAAGGAGGAUUUCGGGAUGGAAAGCCCUAUCAGCAGGGAAGAACAAUGACGGUACCUGACUAAGAAGCACCGGCGAAAUACGUGCCAGCAGCCGCGGUAAUAGGCAUGGUGCAAGCGUUAUCCGGAUUUACUGGGUGUAAAGGGAGCGCAGGCGGCGCGUUAAGGCUGGUGUGAAAGUCCGGGGCCCAACCGCGGGACUGCAUUGGGAACUGGCGCGCUGGAGUGCCGGAGGGGUAGGCGGAAUGCCUAGUGUAGCGGUGAAAUGCGUAGAUAUUAGGAGGAACGCCAGUGGCGAAGGCGGCCUACUGGACGGUGACUGACGCUGAGGCUCGAAAGCGUGGGGAGCAAACAGGAUUAGAUACCCCAGUAGUC